RNAcentral lists this ribosomal RNA (428 nucleotides) under uncultured bacterium. RNAcentral's name for it is "bacterial SSU rRNA". It matches the Rfam family "Bacterial small subunit ribosomal RNA", at positions 356 to 775 of the family's 1533-position model. The record is from RNAcentral.
GGGGAAUCUUGCGCAAUGGGGGAAACCCUGACGCAGUGACGCCGCGUGAACGAUGAAGUCCUUCGGGAUGUAAAGUUCUGUCAGGCGGGAAGAACCUCCCCCCGAUGCAAAUCGGGGGGAAAUGACGGUACCGCCAGAGGAAGCACUGGCUAAUUCCGUGCCAGCAGCCGCGGUAACACGGAGAGUGCAAGCGUUGUUCGGAAUUACUAGGCGUAAAGCGCGUGUAGGUGGUUAGUUAAGUCGGAUGUGAAAAUUCCAAGCUUAACUUGGAACCGGCAUUCGAAACUGGUUAACUUGAGUGUAGGAGAGGAGAGCGGAAUUCCUAGUGUAGCGGUGAAAUGCGUAGAUAUUAGGAAGAACACCGGUGGCGAAGGCGGCUCUCUGGCCUAAAACUGACACUGAGACGCGAAAGCGUGGGUAGCAAACAG